CCCCGAGCGGAGCGGGCCCAGGACCCUAUCGGCUGUCGAGCCGGUGCUGCCGCGGCCACCGCCACCGCCCAGGGGCUCCGGGGCUGUGGGGAGCGGCUGAACUCAAUACCGCCUCCGCGCUGACUGGAAGGCACUGCGGCCGCGCCUGCCUGCCCCACCUCGUAAGGGCCUGUGACCUCACGAGGCCAGCCGCCGGGCGCUGCAUUCGAGCGGUGGGGCUCCUGUCCGUGCGCUUUCCUCCCGCAGCCCCGGCCGGGAUUCCGCCCUCCGUCCUUGCCACCCGCUCGCCACUCUUCCCUAAUCGCUGUUCAUUCUCCGAACUUCAGAUUGAAAAGCAUGUACUUGAGUAGCUGUAUUUAAGGAAUUACACCCAAGAAGUCUCAUCUUCCCUGGACUUACGUAGAGGAUAAGAUUCUGAACUUUGAAUUGAUGCUAUAAUGGGAUAAGACUUUGGGGCCUUAGAAGGGAGACCAGGACCUGCCAGCCAAGACAAUAUUUUGGGUUCUUUCCCAAAAUACUUAGUCAUCUAAAAUCAUAACCCUAUUGAAAGCUGCCUUCCUGUUCAACCCCAGUCAACAACUAAAACAGAGGCAUGUCACCCCUCUGGGGGUCAGGCUGAGUAUACUCUGCAGAGCUCUGCUUCCCACAAAUGUCAGGAGAACAAAGGCCAUGAAGGUGUUAAAGGGAAGCAAGCGAUCGACAGCAUUGGUUGGUGACAAACCUGUGGCUGGUCUGUGUAUGAUGGGAUGGAUUCCUCCUGCUCCCAGAAGGCACUGUACUUUCAGUGUUCAGGGCAGCCUUGCCUUAGUGCCUCAAACCUAUCCCUACAUCCUGCAGUAAACUUGGAAAGGUAACACCUCUAACCAUCAGGCCUUCCUCUGAAGCACAGUCAAGUUGCUCUUGGCAACCAUCUCAAUUUUAAUAGUGCAGAUGCCAUGUGCUGUAAAGUCCUAAAAUUUAAAUUCUUUAUUUCUUGACAUCAUUGCCUCAAAAAA
RNAcentral lists this long non-coding RNA (995 nucleotides) under Homo sapiens (human). RNAcentral's name for it is "HSALNT0390307". Lineage: Eukaryota; Metazoa; Chordata; Mammalia; Primates; Hominidae. The record is from RNAcentral.